This 333-nucleotide long non-coding RNA is filed under the name Theobroma cacao (cacao). RNAcentral's name for it is "long non-coding RNA (TCAC_LNC004388)". Lineage: Eukaryota; Viridiplantae; Streptophyta; Magnoliopsida; Malvales; Malvaceae. The record is from RNAcentral.
ACAACCUUUUAUUGAAAGUGUUUCUCAAUCCUCCUAUCAUUCUGGUAAAUUCAAGUACACUUUCUCACCUAGAGAGUUUUUCAAGAAACUUAUCCUUUCAAGUUUCUCAAGAAAGUCCCAUCAUCGAGAUUGACAAUUGUAAACAAAAUAUGUGUCACAUGGUAGGAUGCGAAUUUCAAAUUAUUAAAUACCUAUUAGAGUCUUUUGUUUAAAACGUCUCCCGAAUCUUCCCAUCUUCCUAGUAAAAUCUGAGAUCGAAUUCUCACCUAGAGAAUUACUCAAGAAAGUUUAUCCUUACAAACUUCAUGGGAAGGCCUCAUCAUUGAAACCUUA